GACGAACGCUGGCGGCGUGCCUAAUACAUGCAAGUUGAGCGCUGAAGGUUGGUACUUGUACCAACUGGAUGAGCAGCGAACGGGUGAGUAACGCGUGGGGAAUCUGCCUUUGAGCGGGGGACAACAUUUGGAAACGAAUGCUAAUACCGCAUAAAAACUUUAAACACAAGUUUUAAGUUUGAAAGAUGCAAUUGCAUCACUCAAAGAUGAUCCCGCGUUGUAUUAGCUAGUUGGUGAGGUAAAGGCUCACAAAGGCGAUGAUACAUAGCCGACCUGAGAGGGUGAUCGGCCACAUUGGGACUGAGACACGGCCCAAACUCCUACGGGAGGCAGCAGUAGGGAAUCUUCGGCAAUGGACGAAAGUCUGACCGAGCAACGCCGCGUGAGUGAAGAAGGUUUUCGGAUCGUAAAACUCUGUUGGUAGAGAAGAACGUUGGUGAGAGUGGAAAGCUCAUCAAGUGACGGUAACUACCCAAAAAGGGACGGCUAACUACGUG
This 497-nucleotide ribosomal RNA is filed under the name uncultured bacterium. RNAcentral's name for it is "partial 16S ribosomal RNA". It matches the Rfam family "Bacterial small subunit ribosomal RNA", at positions 28 to 507 of the family's 1533-position model. The record is from RNAcentral.